AUCCAGCUGACGAGUCCCAAAUAGGAAAAAACGCCCGUCCUGUAU
RNAcentral lists this non-coding RNA (45 nucleotides) under Schistosoma mansoni. The record is from RNAcentral. Lineage: Eukaryota; Metazoa; Platyhelminthes; Trematoda; Strigeidida; Schistosomatidae.